Molecule: ribosomal RNA, 466 nt
Filed under: uncultured bacterium
Lineage: Bacteria
Description: partial 16S ribosomal RNA
Rfam family: Bacterial small subunit ribosomal RNA
Source: RNAcentral
GACGAACGCUGGCGGCGUGCUUAACACAUGCAAGUCGAACGGAAAGGCCCUGCUUGCAGGGUACUCGAGUGGCGAACGGGUGAGUAACACGUGGGUGAUCUGCCCUGCACUUCGGGAUAAGCUUGGGAAACUGGGUCUAAUACCGGAUGGGAGCCAUCUUUAGUGUGGUGGUUGGAAAGUUUUUUCGGUGUAGGAUGAGCUCGCGGCCUAUCAGCUUGUUGGUGGGGUAAUGGCCUACCAAGGCGGCGACGGGUAGCCGGCCUGAGAGGGUGUACGGCCACAUUGGGACUGAGAUACGGCCCAGACUCCUACGGGAGGCAGCAGUGGGGAAUAUUGCACAAUGGGCGCAAGCCUGAUGCAGCGACGCCGCGUGGGGGAUGAAGGCCUUCGGGUUGUAAACUCCUUUCGCUAGGGACGAAGCUUUGUUGUGACGGUACCUAGAGAAGAAGCACCGGCUAACUACGUG